GGGCCCUUCGUCUAUCGGUUAGGACGUCAGGUUUUCAACCUGAAAAGACGGGUUCGACUCCCGUAGGGCCUACCA
Molecule: transfer RNA, 75 nt
Filed under: Hyphococcus sp.
Lineage: Bacteria; Pseudomonadati; Pseudomonadota; Alphaproteobacteria; Parvularculales; Parvularculaceae
Description: tRNA-Glu
Rfam family: tRNA
About the family: Transfer RNA (tRNA) molecules are approximately 80 nucleotides in length. Their secondary structure includes four short double-helical elements and three loops (D, anti-codon, and T loops). Further hydrogen bonds mediate the characteristic L-shaped molecular structure. tRNAs have two regions of fundamental functional importance: the anti-codon, which is responsible for specific mRNA codon recognition, and the 3' end, to which the tRNAs corresponding amino acid is attached (by aminoacyl-tRNA synthetases). tRNAs cope with the degeneracy of the genetic code in two manners: having more than one tRNA (with a specific anti-codon) for a particular amino acid; and 'wobble' base-pairing, i.e. permitting non-standard base-pairing at the 3rd anti-codon position.
Source: RNAcentral